RNAcentral lists this ribosomal RNA (1372 nucleotides) under uncultured bacterium. RNAcentral describes it as "bacterial SSU rRNA". It matches the Rfam family "Bacterial small subunit ribosomal RNA", at positions 28 to 1381 of the family's 1533-position model. The record is from RNAcentral.
GAUGAACGCUGGUGGCGUGCCUAAUACAUGCAAGUCGAGCGAACGGACGAGAAGCUUGCUUCUCUGAUGUUAGCGGCGGACGGGUGAGUAACACGUGGAUAACCUACCUAUAAGACUGGGAUAACUUCGGGAAACCGGAGCUAAUACCGGAUAAUAUUUUGAACCGCAUGGUUCAAAAGUGAAAGACGGUCUUGCUGUCACUUAUAGAUGGAUCCGCGCUGCAUUAGCUAGUUGGUAAGGUAACGGCUUACCAAGGCAACGAUGCAUAGCCGACCUGAGAGGGUGAUCGGCCACACUGGAACUGAGACACGGUCCAGACUCCUACGGGAGGCAGCAGUAGGGAAUCUUCCGCAAUGGGCGAAAGCCUGACGGAGCAACGCCGCGUGAGUGAUGAAGGUCUUCGGAUCGUAAAACUCUGUUAUUAGGGAAGAACAUAUGUGUAAGUAACUGUGCACAUCUUGACGGUACCUAAUCAGAAAGCCACGGCUAACUACGUGCCAGCAGCCGCGGUAAUACGUAGGUGGCAAGCGUUAUCCGGAAUUAUUGGGCGUAAAGCGCGCGUAGGCGGUUUUUUAAGUCUGAUGUGAAAGCCCACGGCUCAACCGUGGAGGGUCAUUGGAAACUGGAAAACUUGAGUGCAGAAGAGGAAAGUGGAAUUCCAUGUGUAGCGGUGAAAUGCGCAGAGAUAUGGAGGAACACCAGUGGCGAAGGCGACUUUCUGGUCUGUAACUGACGCUGAUGUGCGAAAGCGUGGGGAUCAAACAGGAUUAGAUACCCUGGUAGUCCACGCCGUAAACGAUGAGUGCUAAGUGUUAGGGGGUUUCCGCCCCUUAGUGCUGCAGCUAACGCAUUAAGCACUCCGCCUGGGGAGUACGACCGCAAGGUUGAAACUCAAAGGAAUUGACGGGGACCCGCACAAGCGGUGGAGCGUGUGGUUUAAUUCGAAGCAACGCGAAGAACCUUACCAAAUCUUGACAUCCUUUGACAACUCUAGAGAUAGAGCUUUCCCCUUCGGGGGACAAAGUGACAGGUGGUGCAUGGUUGUCGUCAGCUCGUGUCGUGAGAUGUUGGGUUAAGUCCCGCAACGAGCGCAACCCUUAAGCUUAGUUGCCAUCAUUAAGUUGGGCACUCUAAGUUGACUGCCGGUGACAAACCGGAGGAAGGUGGGGAUGACGUCAAAUCAUCAUGCCCCUUAUGAUUUGGGCUACACACGUGCUACAAUGGACAAUACAAAGGGCAGCGAAACCGUGAGGUCAAGCAAAUCCCAUAAAGUUGUUCUCAGUUCGGAUUGUAGUCUGCAACUCGACUACAUGAAGCUGGAAUCGCUAGUAAUCGUAGAUCAGCAUGCUACGGUGAAUACGUUCCCGGGUCU